AUGUUGCAGGAGGAUGGGGGUAUUGAUGAAGAUGUGAACCAUCGAAUCAAAGCCGGAUGGAUGAAGUGGCGCCAAGCUUCUGGCAUUCUCUAUGACAAGAGAGUGCCACAAAAGCUAAAAGGCAAGUUCUACAGGACGGCGGUUCGACCCGCAAUGUUGUAUGGCGCGGAGUGUUGGCCGACUAAAAGGCGACAUGUUCAACAGUUAGGUGUGGCGGAGAUGCGUAUGUUGAGAUGGAUGUGUGGCUACACGAGGAAGGAUCGAGUCCGGAAUGAUGAUAUACGAGAUAGAGUUGGGGUAGCACCAAUUGAGGAGAAGCUUGUCCAACAUCGUUUGAGAUGGUUUGGGCAUAUUCAGCGCAGGCCUCCAGAAGCUCCAGUGCAUAGCGGACGGCUAAAGCGUGCGGAGAAUGUCAAGAGAGGGCGGGGUCGACCGAUUUUGACAUGGGAGGAGUCUGUUAAGAGAGACCUGAAGGAUUGGAGUAUC
This 486-nucleotide ribosomal RNA is filed under the name Triticum aestivum (bread wheat). RNAcentral's name for it is "partial small subunit ribosomal RNA". Lineage: Eukaryota; Viridiplantae; Streptophyta; Magnoliopsida; Poales; Poaceae. The record is from RNAcentral.